UUACGGCUCAGUAACACGUAACUAACCUGCCCUUAAGUCGAGGAUACUCUCGGGAAACUGAGGUUAAUACUCGAUAGGAGAUGUACCCUGGAAUGAUUCAUCUCUCAAAUUCGAGCUUAAGGAUGGGGCUGCGGCGGAUUAGGUUGUUGGCGGGGUAAAGGCCCACCAAGCCGAUGAUCCGUAAGGGCUCUUAGCAGAGAGGCCCUGAGAGGGAAUCUGAGACACUAUUCCCAGCCCUACGGGGUGCAGCAGUUAGGAAUCUUCUGCAAUGCGCGCAAGCGUGACAGAUUGAGUCAGAGUGCUUUUCAUAUGAAAAGCUUUUGCCAAAUGUAAAAAGUUUGGCGAAUAAGGACUGGGUAAGACGGGUGCCAGCCGCCGCGGUAAUACCCGCGGUCCAAGUCGCAGCCAUCAUUAUUGGGUCUAAAACAUCCGUAGCUUGCUUGAUAAGUUUCUUGUGAAAUUCCAUGUCUCAAAUAUGGAGCGGGCAAGAAGUACUGUCAAGCUAGAGACUGGAAGACGUAAGAAGUACGUUUGGAGUAGCGGUAAAAUGUGUUAAUCCCAGACGGACUAACAACAGCGAAGGCAUCUUACGAGGACAGUUCUGACAGUAAGGGAUGAAGGCUAGGGGCGCGAAAGGGAUUAGAUACCCCUGUAGUCCUAGCAGUAAACACUGCACACUAAACAUUAGUACCUCCUCGAGAGGUGUUAGUGCU
Molecule: ribosomal RNA, 713 nt
Filed under: uncultured euryarchaeote
Lineage: Archaea; Methanobacteriati; Methanobacteriota
Description: bacterial SSU rRNA
Rfam family: Archaeal small subunit ribosomal RNA
Source: RNAcentral